GACGAACGCUGGCGGCGUGCUUAACACAUGCAAGUCGAACGGAAAGGCCCUGCUUUUGUGGGGUGCUCGAGUGGCGAACGGGUGAGUAACACGCGAGUAACCUCCCCUUGACUUUGGGAUAACUUCAGGAAACUCGGGCUCAUACCGGAUAGGAGCUCCUGCUGCAUGGUGGGGGUUGGAAAGUUUCGGCGGUUGGGGAUGGACUGGCGGCUUAUGAGCUUGUUGGUGGGGUAGUGGCUUACCAAGGGUUUGACGGGUAGCCGGCCUGAGAGGUGGACCGGCCACAUGGGGACUGAGGGACGGCGCAGACGGGUACGGGAGGCAGCAGGGGAGAACAUUGCAGAAUGGGCGGGAGCCUGAUGCGGCGACGCCGCGUUCGGAAUGAUGGCCUUCGGGUUGUAAACCGCUUUCGCCUGUGACGAAGCGUGAGUGACGGUAAUGGGUAAAAAAGCACCGGCUAACUACGUG
Molecule: ribosomal RNA, 468 nt
Filed under: uncultured bacterium
Lineage: Bacteria
Description: partial 16S ribosomal RNA
Rfam family: Bacterial small subunit ribosomal RNA
Source: RNAcentral